This 403-nucleotide ribosomal RNA is filed under the name uncultured bacterium. Its description in RNAcentral is "partial 16S ribosomal RNA". It matches the Rfam family "Bacterial small subunit ribosomal RNA", at positions 28 to 526 of the family's 1533-position model. The record is from RNAcentral.
GACGAACGCUGGCGGCGUGCCUAAUACAUGCAAGUCGAACGCAGUGGGUACGGGUGAGUUACACGUGGUUAACCUCCCAUUAGAUGGGAUAACACUUGGAAACAGGUGCUAAACUGAUACUGAUGGAUGGACUCGCGGUGCUUUAGCUAGUGGGUAAGGUAACGGCUCACCAAGGACACGAUGCAUAGCCGACCUGAGAGGGUGAUCGGCCACACUGGGACUGAGACACGGCCCAGACUCCUACGGGAGGCAGCAGUAGGGAAUCUUCGGCAAUGGACGAAAGUCUGACCGAGCAACGCCGCGUGAGUGAAGAAGGUUUUCGGAUCGUAAAACUCUGUUGUUAGAGAAGCGGUAUCUAACCAGAAAGCCACGGCUAACUACGUGCCAGCAGCCGCGGUAAUUC